GAUGAACGCUAGCGGCAGGCUUAACACAUGCAAGUCGAGGGGUAUAGUUCUUCGGAAUUAGAGACCGGCGCACGGGUGCGUAACGCGUAUGCAAUCUACCUUUCACAGAGGGAUAGCCCCAGAGAAAUUUGGAUUAAUACCUCAUAGUAUAGCAGUUUCGCAUGAAACCACUAUUAAAGUCACAACGGUGAAAGAUGAGCAUGCGUCCCAUUAGCUAGUUGGUAAGGUAACGGCUUACCAAGGCAACGAUGGGUAGGGGUCCUGAGAGGGAGAUCCCCCACACUGGUACUGAGACACGGACCAGACUCCUACGGGAGGCAGCAGUGAGGAAUAUUGGACAAUGGGCGCAAGCCUGAUCCAGCCAUGCCGCGUGCAGGAUGACGGUCCUAUGGAUUGUAAACUGCUUUUUANACAGGAAGAAACACUACUUCGUGAAGUAGCUUGACGGUACUGUAAGAAUAAGGAUCGGCUAAACUCCGUGCCAGCAGCCG
RNAcentral lists this ribosomal RNA (491 nucleotides) under uncultured bacterium. Its description in RNAcentral is "bacterial SSU rRNA". It matches the Rfam family "Bacterial small subunit ribosomal RNA", at positions 28 to 517 of the family's 1533-position model. The record is from RNAcentral.